GUCGAGCGGACCGACUGGAGCUUGCUCCCUUAGGUCAUCGGCGGACGGGUGAGUAACACGUGGGUAACCUGCCUGUAAGACUGGGAUAACUCCGGGAAACCGGGGCUAAUACCGGAAGCCUGAUUGAACCGCAUGGUUUCAAUCAUAAAAGGCGGCUUACUGCUGCCGUUUACAGAUGGACCCGCGGCGCAUCAGCUAGUUGGUAGAGGUAACGGCUCACCAAGGCGACGAUGCGUAGCCGACCUGAGAGGGUGAUCGGCCACACUGGGACUGAGACACGGCCCAGACUCCUACGGGAGGCAGCAGUAGGGAAUCUUCCGCAAUGGACGAAAGUCUGACGGAGCAACGCCGCGUGAGUGAUGAAGGUUUUCGGAUCGUANAGCUCUGUUGUUAGGGAAGAACAAGUACCGUUCGAAUAGGGCGGUACCUUGACGGUACCUAACCAGAAAGCCACGGCUAACUACGUGCCAGCAGCCGCGGUAAUACGUACGUGGCAAGCGUUGUCCGGAAUUA
This 513-nucleotide ribosomal RNA is filed under the name Bacillus sp. CSu2_1. Its description in RNAcentral is "bacterial SSU rRNA". It matches the Rfam family "Bacterial small subunit ribosomal RNA", at positions 61 to 553 of the family's 1533-position model. Lineage: Bacteria; Bacillati; Bacillota; Bacilli; Caryophanales; Bacillaceae. The record is from RNAcentral.